AGAGACAGCAGUCGCCGCGGUAAUACGAAGGGUGCAAGCGUUAAUCGGAAUUACUGGGCGUAAGGCGUGCGCAGGCGGUUUGUUAAGACAGAUGUGAAGUCCCCGGGCUCAACCUGGGAACUGCAUUUGUGACUGGCAAGCUAGAGUCUGGCAGAGGGGGGUAGAAUUCCACGUGUAGCAGUGAAAUGCGUAGGUAUGUGGAGGAAUACCGAUGGCGAAGGCAGCCCCCUGGGAUAACACUGACGCUCAUGCACGAAAGCGUGGGGAGCAAACAGGAUUAGAGACCCCAGUAGUCCCUGUCUCUUAUAC
This 309-nucleotide ribosomal RNA is filed under the name uncultured bacterium. Its description in RNAcentral is "partial 16S ribosomal RNA". It matches the Rfam family "Bacterial small subunit ribosomal RNA", at positions 504 to 807 of the family's 1533-position model. The record is from RNAcentral.